RNAcentral lists this long non-coding RNA (942 nucleotides) under Anser brachyrhynchus (Pink-footed goose). RNAcentral describes it as "lncRNA (ENSABRG00000002325.1)". Lineage: Eukaryota; Metazoa; Chordata; Aves; Anseriformes; Anatidae. The record is from RNAcentral.
ACUCUCUGGCUGAGCCCUGGGAUCUCUGGACUCGUCACUGUUCAGCCACUGCUGCCCGGAGCCUGACUGAAUUUCAAAGCAAACCCCUCUUCUAUGGGGAUGGCAGCUGAGAGGGGCUGUGCUGUGUUUCCAAAAUGCACAAAUAUAUCACUUUUUUGGAAUUCAAGAUAGAAAUUGUUGAUAGCAAAGGAGAUGCCUAGAAGUAAUGAAUAAAAUUAAUUUUAAAGUGAUUGUCUUGUGGCUCCUUCUGAAAGUACAUCUCGUCUGGUACCAACACAUGGCUCACCUCAAAGCGUGUGUAGCUCAGAGUUGGAUCUUCAGAUGGUGUAACUGUUCAAGGACAACAAAGGACUGGCAAAAUGAAACUGAAGAAAGAGUUUUUGAGGAAGAUAUGGAAAAGCAAAGACUCCUGUUGUCGGCAUGGUAUGGGCAGGUGCUUGGUCUGCCUUCCAGAGGAGGAUGGGGCCAGCGCUGCCACCAUGCUGGUGUGAGCCCUGAGAAGGGAGAGCACUGGCUCUCCACUGACAGGAACAAGUUAGCUCCUGAAGAAGCUGGAUGUGGUCGCUCUGUAACUCUCAAAUACGCUCUAAAACAUUACAAAUGUUUUGUAACAUCCGAAAGGCACCUUUCCUGAGGGCAAGCAGCAGCAGACAGCAAAGCCUCUCCAAAUUACCACCUUGCCCUCCGGCUGUACACAGCCCUUGGUAUGUAUGGUGACAAUGGGCCAUUUUGUAAGGCGGACCAAGUAUUUAUUUAUUUCAAUCUUGCAUAUAGAAUGUUCUUGAUGCCUGCAUCAUAAAAUUUAUGUAAAUUUCUAUUUGUUGUCAGGGUGUGUCGAGAAGGCUUGGGCGAGUGGGAUAUAUAUAUGAUUAUUAACGUCCGUUGACUGAUCAACUUGAUCCACCUUCUAGGAGACACAUUCCCUGCGUUUUUCCUUCCUCC